Molecule: long non-coding RNA, 250 nt
Filed under: Lathyrus oleraceus (garden pea)
Lineage: Eukaryota; Viridiplantae; Streptophyta; Magnoliopsida; Fabales; Fabaceae
Description: Pisum sativum (pea) long non-coding RNA (PSAT_LNC023408)
Source: RNAcentral
CAGAGAAAUUAUGUGGUGUUUAUUAUGAAAGUUAUGAUGUCGAAUGAAGAAGAAGGAUUACACACAAGAAAGAGAAGAAAAAUAAGAGAAUUCGAAAAAGGAAGUAAAAACGUGUUGCACCAAUAAGUAGAGUGGCGUUAUUUCGAGCAUAGAAAGAAUAAAAUCGCCACUUGAAGCAAAUAUCUCGCACCAAAGGAAAAAAGAUGUGAAAUUUAAUCACAAGAAAAAUCGACGCUCUAACUGCAAUGCA